RNAcentral lists this ribosomal RNA (255 nucleotides) under uncultured bacterium. Its description in RNAcentral is "partial 16S ribosomal RNA". It matches the Rfam family "Bacterial small subunit ribosomal RNA", at positions 524 to 776 of the family's 1533-position model. The record is from RNAcentral.
UACGUAGGGGGGCAAGCGUUGUCCGGAUUUAUUGGGCGUAAAGAGCGUGUAGGCGGCCGUACAGGUCAGCUGUGAAAACUCGAGGCUCAACCUCGAGACGUCGGUUGAAACCGUACGGCUAGAGUCCGGAAGAGGAGAGUGGAAUUCCCGGUGUAGCGGUGAAAUGCGCAGAUAUCGGGAAGAACACCCGUGGCGAAGGCGGCUCUCUGGGACGGUACUGACGCUGAGACGCGAAAAGCGUGGGGAGCGAACAGG